UGGGGGAUAUUGCACAAUGGGCGAAAGCCUGAUGCAGCGACGCCGCGUGGGGGAUGAAGGCUUUCGGGUUGUAAACCUCUUUCGCUAUCGAACAAGGCCCGCUUAGGGUGGGUUGAGGGUAGGUGGAGAAGAAGCGCCGGCUAACUACGUGCCAGCAGCCGCGGUAAUACGUAGGGCGCGAGCGUUGUCCGGAAUUAUUGGGCGGAAAGGGCUUGUAGGCGGCUUGUUGCGCCUUCUGUGAAAACGCGGGGCUUAACUUCGGGCGUGCAGUGGGUACGGGCAGGCUUGAGUGUGGUAGGGGUGACUGGAAUUCCAGGUGUAGCGGUGGAAUGCGCAGAUAUCUGGAGGAACACCGAUGGCGAAGGCAGGUCACUGGGCCAUUACUGACGCUGAGGAGCGAAAGCAUGGGUAGCGAACAGG
This 420-nucleotide ribosomal RNA is filed under the name bacterium. Its description in RNAcentral is "partial 16S ribosomal RNA". It matches the Rfam family "Bacterial small subunit ribosomal RNA", at positions 355 to 776 of the family's 1533-position model. The record is from RNAcentral.